UACGAAGGGGGCUAGCGUUGCUCGGAAUGACUGGGCGUAAAGGGCGCGUAGGCGGAUGGCACAGUCAGAUGUGAAAUUCCCCGGGCUUAACCUGGGGGCUGCAUUUGAUACGUGUUGUCUUGAGUUCGGAAGAGGUCGUGGAAUUCCCAGUGUAGAGGUGAAAUUCGUAGAUAUUGGGAAGAACACCGGUGGCGAAGGCGGCGACCUGGUCCGACACUGACGCUGAGGCGCGAAAGCCGUGGGGAGCAA
This 249-nucleotide ribosomal RNA is filed under the name uncultured bacterium. RNAcentral describes it as "partial 16S ribosomal RNA". It matches the Rfam family "Bacterial small subunit ribosomal RNA", at positions 524 to 771 of the family's 1533-position model. The record is from RNAcentral.